GCCCCGGUAGCGCAGAUCGGGAGCGCGCCCGGCUGAAGACCGGGGUGUCGUGGGUUCAAGAUCUCCUCAAAAGGAGAUGGAAGUCCCACCCGGGGCA
RNAcentral lists this transfer RNA (97 nucleotides) under Nitrososphaeria archaeon. RNAcentral describes it as "tRNA-Phe". It matches the Rfam family "tRNA". Rfam says of the family: Transfer RNA (tRNA) molecules are approximately 80 nucleotides in length. Their secondary structure includes four short double-helical elements and three loops (D, anti-codon, and T loops). Further hydrogen bonds mediate the characteristic L-shaped molecular structure. tRNAs have two regions of fundamental functional importance: the anti-codon, which is responsible for specific mRNA codon recognition, and the 3' end, to which the tRNAs corresponding amino acid is attached (by aminoacyl-tRNA synthetases). tRNAs cope with the degeneracy of the genetic code in two manners: having more than one tRNA (with a specific anti-codon) for a particular amino acid; and 'wobble' base-pairing, i.e. permitting non-standard base-pairing at the 3rd anti-codon position. Lineage: Archaea; Thermoproteati; Nitrososphaerota; Nitrososphaeria. The record is from RNAcentral.